GAUGAACGCUGGCGGCGUGCCUAAUACAUGCAAGUAGAACGCUGAAGGAGGAGCUUGCUCUUUCCGGAUGAGUUGCGAACGGGUGAGUAACGCGUAGGUAACCUGCCUGGUAGCGGGGGAUAACUAUUGGAAACGAUAGCUAAUACCGCAUAACAGUAGAUAUUGCAUGAUAUUUGCUUGAAAGGGGCAAUUGCUCCACUACCAGAUGGACCUGCGUUGUAUUAGCUAGUUGGUGAGGUAACGGCUCACCAAGGCGACGAUACAUAGCCGACCUGAGAGGGUGAUCGGCCACACUGGGACUGAGACACGGCCCAGACUCCUACGGGAGGCAGCAGUAGGGAAUCUUCGGCAAUGGACGGAAGUCUGACCGAGCAACGCCGCGUGAGUGAAGAAGGUUUUCGGAUCUUAAAGCUCUGUUGUAAGAGAAGAACGAGUGUGAGAGUGGAAAGUUCACACUGUGACGGUAUCUUACCAGAAAGGGACGGCUAACUACGUG
RNAcentral lists this ribosomal RNA (496 nucleotides) under uncultured bacterium. RNAcentral's name for it is "partial 16S ribosomal RNA". It matches the Rfam family "Bacterial small subunit ribosomal RNA", at positions 28 to 507 of the family's 1533-position model. The record is from RNAcentral.